This 710-nucleotide ribosomal RNA is filed under the name Klebsiella pneumoniae. Its description in RNAcentral is "bacterial SSU rRNA". It matches the Rfam family "Bacterial small subunit ribosomal RNA", at positions 115 to 821 of the family's 1533-position model. Lineage: Bacteria; Pseudomonadati; Pseudomonadota; Gammaproteobacteria; Enterobacterales; Enterobacteriaceae. The record is from RNAcentral.
GUCUGGGAAACUGCCUGAUGGAUUGGGAUAACUACUGGAAACGGUAGCUAAUACCGCAUAACGUCGCAAGACCAAAGUGGGGGACCUUCGGGCCUCAUGCCAUCAGAUGUGCCCAGAUGGGAUUAGCUAGUAGGUGGGGUAACGGCUCACCUAGGCGACGAUCCCUAGCUGGUCUGAGAGGAUGACCAGCCACACUGGAACUGAGACACGGUCCAGACUCCUACGGGAGGCAGCAGUGGGGAAUAUUGCACAAUGGGCGCAAGCCUGAUGCACCCAUGCCGCGUGUGUGAAAAAGGCCUUCGGGUUGUAAAGCACUUUCAGCGGGGAGGAAGGCGGUGAGGUUAAUAACCUCGUCGAUUGACGUUACCCGCAAAAAAAGCACCGGCUAACUCCGUGCCAGCAGCCGCGGUAAUACGGAGGGUGCAAGCGUUAAUCGGAAUUACUGGGCGUAAAGCGCACGCAGGCGGUCUGUCAAGUCGGAUGUGAAAUCCCCGGGCUCAACCUGGGAACUGCAUUCUAAACUGGCAGGCUAGAGUCUUGUAGAGGGGGGUAGAACUCCAGGUGUAGCGGUGAACUGCGUAGAGAUCUGGAGGAAUACCGGUGGCGAAGGCCGCCCCCUGUACAAAGACUGACGCUCAGGUGCAAAAGCGUGGGGAGCAAACAGGAUUACAUACCCUGGUAGUCCACCCCAUAAACGAUGUCAUUUGGGA